UCUUGUGUAUCUAUAAGAAGUAAUUCCUGCCCAGUGACUAAAGUUUAACGGCCGCGGUAUCCUAACCGUGCAAAGGUAGCAUAAUCACUUGCCCGUUAAUUGCGGGCUAGAAUGAAUGGACUAACGAAAUAAAAGCUGUCUCUAUGGGCCCAAUAAAAAUUAAUCUCUAACUGAAGAACGUUAGAUAUUAUCGAAGGACAAGAAGACCCUAUAGAGCUUUAUCUUACAAGAAGGUUUACUUUUCUAAGAUUCGGUUGGGGCGACCGAGGAAGUAAAUAAUCAUCCUUUUUUUAUAGAUUGAUAAAUCCAACCCCUGACCCUUAUCAAAGACCAUAAAAACAAGCUACCUUAGGGAUAACAGGCUAAUCCCACUAAAGAGUUCUUAUCAAUAGUGGGGUUUGGCACCUCGAUGUUGGCUUAGGGAAUCUAUGUGGCGCAAAAGUCAUAUAAAGAAGGUUUGUUCAACCAUUAAUACCCUACAUGAGCUGAGUUCAGACCGGCGUAAGCCAGGUUAGUUUCUAUCCUCGACAAAACUACCUAUUUAUAGUACGAAAGGACCUAAAUAAGGAUAAAUAUUAUAAACAAAGAAUAAAUAUAAUACAUGUUAAAACAUAAAAUACAUAGACUAUG
This 630-nucleotide ribosomal RNA is filed under the name Octodrilus transpadanus. Its description in RNAcentral is "partial 16S ribosomal RNA". The stretch from base 1 to 545 matches the Rfam family "Bacterial large subunit ribosomal RNA", at positions 1833 to 2925 of the family's 2925-position model. The record is from RNAcentral. Lineage: Eukaryota; Metazoa; Annelida; Clitellata; Crassiclitellata; Lumbricidae.